Ictalurus punctatus (channel catfish) is the source of this 2110-nucleotide long non-coding RNA. NCBI's taxonomy places the organism in Eukaryota, Metazoa, Chordata, Actinopteri, Siluriformes, Ictaluridae. The record is from Ensembl.
CUGGUCGUAUUCUGUCAAAAUAAGAUGGUAAAAAGAUUCAGAAGGUAGUGGGAGGUCAGAUGUCGUUUCGUUAUUCUGGAUCUGGGCAAAUAGGAGCCAAGAAUGAAAAAAGCACCUGCUAUAAUUUGCAGCCAAUAUACUGCAUUUAAUCAGUCUUCUAAAAUCCUGUAAUUCUACUAAGCAUGUGUAAAUGUUCAGUCCAGUCAUCAUCCCUACUAUGAAACGUGUCUGUUCCGUUGCUGUGUGUGUGAACUAUACUGUAAAUGGCUUUCAACACAUUGAACGGAUGCUUCAUCAUAAUUUUCAUGCUUCACUGUGAAAGUAACCCGUAUCAUUAGCUUAAAAAAAAAAAAAAGCUUAUUCAUGCACAUUCAUAUGAUUUGAUUACUUCCUCGUCCUGGAUUUCACAGAUAAUUUUAAUUUGCUUCAAUAUAGUAUAUAAAAUAUAUUGCUGUCACAGUGAUACCUACAGUAUUUAAUCCAUACUACUAGUUAUUUGCUCAUUUAAACUGUUUUUAAAAAUCUGUUGUCUUUGAUCAGUACUGUAUUAUACUGUGUAAUAAAUAAACAAGUUAUGUGAAGACACGUGUGUCUGUGUCCACGCAGUUCCACUCGAAGUUGACACUGAAAUAGGUUCUCCUUUUUUGAAUUACAAAAAAUACUCAGAUUUUAUUGCUGAAAAAUGUAUAAACUGGAGCUAAUAACAAGGAUAUUGUAAAAACAGGCACCUACUUUAAAGGCAGCACAGAACAAACCGUACUGUAAGCCGCUGGUGUGUGUGUAGAACCUCCAACAUACUGACCGUUAAAACUGGACAUAGACUGUCUAAUCAAUGUUACUUUUAUAACAAGCAAAUUCUGCGGCAUCAUUUAAAAAAAAGAGACACAUCAACAAUUUACAUUGAAAUGAUGCAAGGUUCCUGAACAUUUCAUUUGACAAACUUCUGCCUCACAUCUAUAUAAAAAAGUAGUCACAUUGUUAAGAAGAAACCCUUGAACAAACAUUCUUAAAUGUUAACCAUGACACGUAAUAUCAUAUGUAAGAAUAAUAUCAGUGCGGUAUGUUCUGAAUUAAUGCUUGUAAAGGAAUAAGGUAGUCUACAUACGAUGGCUUUGUAACAGGAACAGGACCUCCGUUAUGCUCUAUAGAAACCUUGUUAUCGGUACAGGUGGCUAGCCCAGACAUGCUCUAUGCUGUGUAGCUCAGAUAGAAGCACUGCACAAGAUCAGAGGAUUUUUUGCAUAUAAGCUUGCUUUCUGUGGAGCUCAUUUACAACUAUAUGGUUGUAUAAAUGCUGCACUGAAAUCAGUUCUUGUUGGACUGUGCAUUUGUCCUGGAGCUUAUUUAUCAGAGGUUGUUGGCCUGGAUGAUCUGCUGCAGAAUGCUGUCCACGUCUCCUGUGUCAUAACUGAUUCCCUGCAUAUCCAAAUUGGGCAGGAUGGAAGAGAGGAGAGACACGACGUUCCUACGGAUAGAGCGUAAUCGAUCCAGUGCAAUGCUGUAGAGAGAAACACAGUGCAGGUCGUCUGCAGGAGUUACUGGAGCUUCCUGCUGUCCGGCAGGACUGACGUUCCUCUUUAAAAGAAUUUGCUGAUCUGGCUGAGAUCCUGAUUUCUGAAGGUAGACAGAAAAAAACGUUUGUUUUUUUUUUAUGCAUGAACAAACUAGUUCUGUGGUCUGAAAUGUAUGUUAGUGUGCUGCUGGAGGUGGACCAGCGCAGUGUUUUUAAACCAACUUCAGUUCGAAAUUACGAACUUAAAUCCCCUCUUUGCACAGCUGCAAGGCUAAAAGGUAUUUGAUGUCAUGCAAAGCCCCAAAAUAAUUUUUGUAGAUUUGUUUUGAAUGUUAAUUAUUUCUAUAAGUAGAUAGUAGGCUAAUUCACCCCACUACUAACCAAAUAAGGAACUGACUGUAUUAUUUUGUUGAACAAAUAAGAACAAACCAACUAUGAUAUCAACACUGUCCUAAAGUGAUUACACAUGUGGGUGAACCCCCACAAAAGCCAACGGGUAAACAAACGCAUUUGUGAAAGAGAUGUAAUCAUCAGUCUUAAUGAAAAUGUCAUUGUACUGAGAUUUGAGUAGCCGAUGUGAUUGAUAUUUCAGUAGUA